This 28-nucleotide small RNA is filed under the name Bombyx mori (domestic silkworm). Its description in RNAcentral is "ovarian small RNA-20290". Lineage: Eukaryota; Metazoa; Arthropoda; Insecta; Lepidoptera; Bombycidae. The record is from RNAcentral.
UACAGCUUAACGACUGUACCACCUUAGC